Molecule: long non-coding RNA, 1058 nt
Filed under: Brassica rapa (field mustard)
Lineage: Eukaryota; Viridiplantae; Streptophyta; Magnoliopsida; Brassicales; Brassicaceae
Description: long non-coding RNA (BRAP_LNC005544)
Source: RNAcentral
AGAACUAUGAGUAUCUAGAGAGAAAAAGUUUGAGUAGAAUUCUUGAAAUAAAUUAGCGCAUGAGCAUAAAUAUAUAUAUAUAUACAAGGUCAACUUACCAAAACAAUCAAUCGCAACUUUUCUUGGCUAUAAAAAGAACUUACGUAUAUUUAUAAGCAACACAUAUAAGAUUAGUUGUACAUUUUUAAUAGAAAAAGAUUUGAUUUCAUUUAAAUAUUCUUGGAAAUAAAACAAAGAGAGCUCAGCAGUGUUAAAUGGAGGUCAGCGUGUCUCUCGCGGCACAUGAUCUUUAACUCGACAGCGAAGAUUAAGCUUAAUUUCACGAGCAUUCCAUUCCAUUCUUAUUAGAAAAAAAAACUAGUCAUUAACUUCAAAUCCGUUUGUUUUAUUCGCUUUGCUGCUUGUUUCGGUUUGUCUACUUUCGUUUUUAAAUUUUGUUUCUACCUUAGAAUUUGAAACUAAGACACCGUUAUUGAAUUAACUAUUUUUUUGAUAAAAUAGGAGUUGAUUAAACAUUUCUUAAUAAUUUUAUACAAUUAUGUUAAAUUUCAUAACUAUCAUGAAAAUAGUGCAUGUAAAACCAUUAAUCAAGGAUUUUUGCGAUGGAUGCAGAACAUGCUUUUUAAAUCGCAAAUGAAUUUAAACACUUUUUCUUGUUACUAGUUAGAAAUAUAUGUUUUUAGACCAAAAAAAAAAGUUUGCUCAAAAAAAAAAAGUUUGCUCAAAAAAAAAAAGUUUGCUAAAAAAAAAAAAGUUAGAAAUAUAUGUUAUCAUACAGCUAACUAUAUAUAUUUGUAAACUAACUAACUAACUAACUAACUAUAUAUAUAAACUGGGGGAUUAAUAGUUUCUUGUCAACAAAUAUGGUAACAUUUUAGAAAGUUAGAAUCGAACAUUUUGUAUACAAUGGUUAAUUAAUAAUACGAAUAAGAUAUGAUCUACAUUUAACCCUUAAUUGAGCUCAGGUGUUGUCCCUCUCCUCUUUGACACCGACCAAAACAAGCUUAAUCGUAUAGUAUUGCUAAAAAACGUGAUCCAGCUAUAUACAUUGCUAUUAC